Non-coding RNA from Chlorocebus sabaeus (green monkey), 4048 nucleotides. The record is from RefSeq and is a predicted model, not a curated record. NCBI's taxonomy places the organism in Eukaryota, Metazoa, Chordata, Mammalia, Primates, Cercopithecidae.
ACUACCAAGCCUGGCUAAUUUGUGUAUUUUUAGUAGAGAUGGGGUUUUGUCUUGUUGGCCAGACUGGUUUCAGACUCCUGGCCUUCGGUAAUCUACCCACCUCGGCUUCCCAAAGGGCUCGGAUUACAGACGUGAGCUACUGCACCCAACCCAACCCGCCUCACCGUUUUUUACGUGGGUUACCACAUAUGUAAAUAGAAUAGCUCAAUAAAUAUUCACUCUAUAACUGCAGGAGUUAGGGUAAAGGGAAAGAGGGUAAGACAACGUCAACAGGAGACCUGCACCCCAGAAAAUCCAACCCCCAUGGGGCACAGUCCAACGUGGGGGUGGGAGGAAUUUUGCCUGGAAUUACUGGGGCAACCCUCAAGGUGAGGGUAGGGGAAAACAGAAGAGGGGAUCCAUUUUUCAGGGGGAACAUGCUUGUCUUGGCGGUUUCUCCCCUCAAAGAUCCUGAGACCUCCAAGCAAGACCGUCGGGCCCCGCUUGGCUGGGGAGCGUUGAGCACGCCCAAGGAACGUGGACACAAGCCCCUCUGUACUGGUGUGUCUAUCGGGUCAGGGAUCCAGCCUGGCCCACGGUGACCCGGGCGGGCAGGUUCCGCACAGUCUAUUCGCUGAGCGCUGGCAGGGUGCUCAAUGCUGUUUAAACCCAGUCACUCCUCUCGACAGCCUCAGGCGGUUGAGGCUGUUACCAUCCCAUUUUACAGAUGAGUAAAUUGAGGCACGCGGAGUGGGGCGGUGAAGCGACUUGCUCAGGACGUCACAGCACUGCUGCCCCUGAUUUUGUCGGGGCUGGAGGCAGCCGGAGAGCCAGGCCGGCUCCGCACACGCUCGGGCCAGGGCAGCGGCUGGAGACCCAGGGGAGCCGGGGCGCGGAGCCAGACCAGCCCCGCCCCCGCGGGCCCGGCGCAGCCAAUGGGCGCCCGACCCGGAGUGGGGUGACGCGGCGUCAGCGCGUACUCCCGGGAGCCCAGCCCUGGGUCACAUGCGCCGCGCCCGCUCGACCCGGGAGGCAGGGAGGGGCGGCGGGGACAGGCUGAGCUCAGCCCCCAGGCCAGACACCUGGCCGGGACGGCCGCCAGCUUGGGCUCUGUGGUGAACUGGGCAAGUUCUUUCCAGCCCUCUCCGAGCCUCCAUGGCCAGCAUUGCCCCUGGAGGCUCACACCCACGUGGGCACCUGCAGGCUUAUCAUGAGUCAUUGAACACACCCUCUACAAAAGAGCUACUUCAACCCCAAAGAUUGCUGCACAGUGAGGAGUGUAGCUCACAAAGGCUGAGGAAUACUGAUACCUGUUCUCUGGGGGGUAACUGGCUGUUUGAGGAGAGGCCAACUGCAUACUGAAAGGGGUGAGUCAGCUUGCAGUGAGCCGAGAUUGCGCCACUGCACUCCAGCCUGGGCGACAGAGCGAGACUCCGUCUCAAAAAAAUAAAAUAAAAUAAAAUAAAAAAAAAGAAAGGGGUGAGUCUAGCUGGCAGCAGGGGGAGUGAGGAAAUCCACGUAAUAAGGCCCCUGUGGGCAUUGGGUUUACUACCCACUACACCAGUUUACGGAUCAGGAUCAGGAGAGUAAAGAACAGAGUGAGACGGUGACUUACCCAACACCUACAGUUAAGCCUGCAACCCCAGGUAGGCAUGGGAUGGACAGGAAAUGGCACCAGACAAUGGAGUCCGCUCAAUUUCCGGAAGCAUCCUGCUUACUCCCUAGUGCUGAGAGUAGAGAUUUUGCAUCCUGGAAUGUUGAGGGCCUGGGCUUGGAGGCCCUAGACAGACUCAUCUGAGGUCUGCUCCAGAAGCUCUGACAGGGGCUCCUGUAAAAUAAACUGAUGGAAUUUCUGGGUGGGUCAUGCAAACCUAUCAAGGUCUCACCUUCUGCCCUUCCCCUGCCCCCAGGACCCAAAAGAGACCCUUUUCUUGGAAAACAGGUGGGUUGGAAAAGAAUCCCUCUUUCUCAGGUGCUUUCAUGGGCAGGUGCAUCGUGAGCAGUGAUGGGACCACAAUGUUCCCACACUGCCCCUCCCAGAUCUCUAGGGAUGGAAAACAGUUCUCAUGGGGCUCUAAGGACAGAGCCUUCCAUCCAAGGGGUGAGGAGGCAACGCUGGGAGAGUCCAGAAGUUUGUCUGUGUCCAAGUCUGUGCCCUCAGUGUGUCACUCCCAUCUCUGGCCCCCUCCAUCCACACUGCGGUGACCAUCUAUUGUUUGUGCUUGCCCAGAUUUCAUUCUUCCACUGCUAAGAGCCUGAUUUUCAGGGUGGGUUCUGGGACUUUGGCUGGAACUACUGUAUUGGGAAAGAGGCACCCUCUCUCUGCCAGCAGGAUGUCUGCCUAGAGCUCCAGGUAGCCUGCAGUCAGCCACAUGGAAGAGCCAACCCAGAGGAGGCAGAACCAAGACUUAGACAGACAGAUUCCUGACCAAAUUCACAAGCACCUGGAUCCAGCUGUGCCUGAAGCUAAUUCAGUUACAUAAUUCUAUCUACAUAACACAUUCUUCUGAUUAAACAGUUUCUUCCAUAACCAAAAAAUGUCCAAUGUGUCAUCUCUAAAUGAGGACUUUGGGCCACAAACUGCCUCCUUUUGGCAAAGAGGUCCUGAUGCUACUCUACUCAAGCAUUUUCCCAAUUUCUUUUCCCACAGAGCCCCUCCUUGAUCAGAACAGCUGUGAAUGUAUUGGGAAAGCACAUUCAGCAAGUGCCCUCAAGUCGGUUGAGUCAGAGUUGCACAGCCACCCUCCUGUUCCUGUGCAGCUGGCCUACCCACAGGCUCCCACAAUGCACACCUCAAGUGUGCAGCUUCAGUGCCCUGGGGCUCAGCUCAGAGCCUCCUCUCCCUGCAGGCCCUGGAAGAGGGCUACGACACUUACUGACUGCAGACUCCCCUUGACUCUGGGAAUGGACCCAGGCUGCGCAUUCCCCAAGGGCAGGUCUGAAGCAGCCCCGUCCCUCCCCUCUGGCAUCAGCCUGGCACACAGCAGACUCUCAGGAACACUGCUGAAAGUACAAGUGGCCUAGGUGUCCUGGUGAUCCACAGUGGUGCCUCAGGACCAAUCUACUCUCCACAGGGUAGGGAUAGAGCUCAGGCCUCUUUCAGUGCUCACAUUGCCUGCUACAGUGCUGGGAGCACAUAAUGAGCCAGGGUCUAUGCUGUCUGUUCAAAGGGACCUGGGUUUGCAGCCCCCACCCCCACUUCAGAAGCCCACUCCCCUUCCCCACUGGGUGUGGGAACCUCUAUCUCCCUCCAACUGGUCGGAAACAGGGCUCUGUAGAGCUCCCUGGAGCCCAGGGAGGCAACUGGCCAAAGGGAGCUGGGUGCUGCCCCUUCUGGCUACGACUGAUGAUGGUGGUGGUCUCAACACAUCCCCUGCCGUGACCUGCCUCAUAUCAGUGGGCAGGAGAGCCCCUCCUGAGCCACCCUCCCAGAGGACUGUUGCCAGCUUCAUCUGCUGGCCGUGGAAGUGGUGUCUUUCCUGCCACUCCAUGGCCCUGUCUGGGAGGUCUGGCUCUGGGUUGGUUGCUGGUUCUGCCACUACUCUCUGUGUGGCCUGGGGCAAGGUUACAGCUCUUUCUAGUCCUCCAUGUCUUCUCUGGCAUAGCAAGAGGUUGGGAAGAUCUCCAGGUUCAUUGGGGGUUUGCCGAGUCCACCCUGACUUGAGGUCUGUCCUUAAGCCCCAGCGAAGGGAUUAAAGGGCCCUCAGCCUCCCAAGCCACCUGGAGAAGGCACAGGUCCCACAGGCUCCCACAGUGCACCCCUUAUGACCCCGUCUCUGGGCCUGAGGGGCCCCCUUCCGGGAGGACGGCUGCCUUACAACAAAGGGCUGCAGGCACCCACCUCCAGGACAAGGGGAGAGGGAAAAGAAGCCUGUUUAGAAAGGGAGAGCAGGCUGCAGGGAUGGGAGGAGACAGGUUUCUUUUUGGGGGGAUAAAAAUGUUCUAAAUUUCGUUGUGGGGAGGAUUGCCCAACUCUAUGAAUAUUCUGAAGAUUACUUAAUUGUACACUUUAAAUGGGUAAACUGUAUGCUAUGUGAAUUAAAUCUCAGUAAAGCUGUCAACAAAGAAA